Hipposideros armiger (great roundleaf bat) is the source of this 968-nucleotide long non-coding RNA. RefSeq lists it as uncharacterized. The record is from RefSeq and is a predicted model, not a curated record. The transcript is spliced from 3 exons. Lineage: Eukaryota; Metazoa; Chordata; Mammalia; Chiroptera; Hipposideridae.
GGUAAUUUUGCAACGUUUUGACGUCCCGGGAACUUACGUACAAAACGUUAAAGCCAGCCCCUUGCUCUCCGCCCCAUUGUACAGGGUUGGCAAGAGUAGACAGUGACUCCCCUUUGUGUAUUGGCACAGACAAGAGACUUGCCAACCUGUCAGAAGCAAAGCAACGGUCCCAGCUCUACUUACCCACUGCCAGCCCCUGCCUUGGCGCCCAGUAACCAGAAGAGUGAAAACACCUUGAAUGUCUGGAGCUGAAUAAGUCCCAGAACUGGACAUACUUAUCAGCAGGACUAUGAAGUCAGCUGCCUUCUGCUCCUAAUUUUGUUUGGCCUGGAUGACACUUGAAGGAUCAGAAUUUGGAGCGUCGUCUUCUGCCUGCGUCCUGAGGCCCUGCGCCAAACCUAGUGGCCUCCCAGGUGCUCCUCAGCCGCCUGCUUUAAAUAGCUUCCUCUCGCUAACGGUUAAUAUGAGGCCUGGAUGGAACAGAGCUUAUGUAAGCUGGCCAACCUUUUCGCCCACUUAGCUGUUCCAACCAAGAGUGGGAGCAUGCUUCUUCUCCUGCCAACAGGAGGCGCCCAACAUUUGUCUUCUGAGAGGCUCAGGGGAGCUCUGGGAACCACUUACCGGUCCCUGGUGGGUCUUAUGCUGGUCGCACACCCUUAGACUGUUGUGGAACGCAACCUAGACAUCAGGAUGUUUAACGCUCCCCAUGUGAUCUUGAUGUUCAGCCAAGAUUGAGAAUCACGGCCCCAGAGCCUCUCUGCCUUCCUCUACCAGCCGCUGGUGGGCUCUUUCUAGGCGCUAAGCACCAGCCUCCCCUUCUGGAUUCACCUCUUACACAGAGCAGCAGCAUUUCCAAGCUUCUCAGUUGUGCCUGUACCUCCUGUACAAUUUCGCCCUAGCUACAAACUGCCUAUUAUUUACCUUCAACACAACUCACUUUUAAAUAUUAACGCCAUUCUAGGCACAUA